Molecule: long non-coding RNA, 757 nt
Organism: Rattus rattus (black rat)
Lineage: Eukaryota; Metazoa; Chordata; Mammalia; Rodentia; Muridae
Exons: 3
Source: RefSeq, a predicted model, not a curated record
UCUGCUGGCUACUGCUGACAACUGAUUAGGGAUCGCGGUGGUGGGGUCGCUGCCCUGGGAGAAGGGGCUGCGCUGAAGUGUGCCUUGAUUCCCGCUUCCUACCCUCCAAUGUCCUCUUCUCCUGGGUCAUCCGAAACCAGGACUUCAGCUUGGAGCGCUCGGUAGCAGCAAGGGACAAACACCCCCAGCCUUACCUCCCAGUCCAUCCUCCUUCUACCCCCACCUCUAAUCUACUGACCCUAGCCUCUACCUCAAAGUGCUUAAGGCUGGGAAGUGGAGAGACCUCAGAAGCGCAAGCAGUUAUAUGGUUCGCCCUCUGAUGAAGUGGGUAGCGCCUGUCUGAGCCUCGGAGUCCCUGAUUUCAAGUUCAACAGAACCAACUGAUACAGAUGCCUAUCAGUGGUCCUGGACAGAUGCCUCGAAGCGGCAGGAGUGCUGAGAGAAGGGUGGGAGAGACCAGACCUCAAGGAUGAGCCCCUCGUACUAUCCACCACUUCUUACCACCAGAUCCCGGAGGUCCUUCUGCAGGAGGCCGAGGGUCUGGUCCAGCUCAAAAAAGUGAUGUUUAGUGCCCACAGGCAGGUAGAAGACUUGUGCUCCUGAAGCCAUCUGGGCAGCUGCUUCCCUGGUGGUGUGGUGGGGCAUGGAAAUCAAGAAAAAUGAUCCAUUACUCUCUCUGGUUGUACCCACGUUACCUAAUCUUUUCCCAGAAUCCCCCAGGGUCAGUACAUGGUAAAGAAUAGAGAGCAUCCACAGA